AGAGUUUGAUCCUGGCUCAGAUUGAACGCUGGCGGCAUGCCUUACACAUGCAAGUCGAACUGCAGCAUGAUCUAGCUUGCUAGAUUGAUGGCGAGUGGCGAACGGGUGAGUAAUACAUCGGAACGUGCCCUGUAGUGGGGGAUAACUAGUCGAAAGAUUAGCUAAUACCGCAUACGACCUGAGGGUGAAAGUGGGGGACCGCAAGGCCUCAUGCUAUAGGAGCGGCCGAUGUCUGAUUAGCUAGUUGGUGGGGUAAAGGCCCACCAAGGCGACGAUCAGUAGCUGGUCUGAGAGGACGAUCAGCCGCACUGGGACUGAGACACGGCCCAGACUCCUACGGGAGGCAGCAGUGGGGAAUUUUGGACAAUGGGCGAAAGCCUGAUCCAGCAAUGCCGCGUGUGUGAAGAAGGCCUUCGGGUUGUAAAGCACUUUUGUCCGGAAAGAAAUGGCUCUGGUUAAUACCUGGGGUCGAUGACGGUACCGGAAGAAUAAGGACCGGCUAACUACGUGCCAGCAGCCGCGGUAAUACGUAG
RNAcentral lists this ribosomal RNA (533 nucleotides) under uncultured bacterium. RNAcentral's name for it is "bacterial SSU rRNA". It matches the Rfam family "Bacterial small subunit ribosomal RNA", at positions 8 to 530 of the family's 1533-position model. The record is from RNAcentral.